Long non-coding RNA from Lucilia cuprina (Australian sheep blowfly), 1192 nucleotides. RefSeq lists it as uncharacterized. The transcript is spliced from 2 exons. The record is from RefSeq and is a predicted model, not a curated record. NCBI's taxonomy places the organism in Eukaryota, Metazoa, Arthropoda, Insecta, Diptera, Calliphoridae.
UUUCAUUGAAAAAAAUCUUUCAGAGAUUUCAGGUAUUACACAAUCUUUUUUUAUAUUUGCUUGUUUUUUCAUUGUUUUCUUUAAAUGAAAUGUAGAGAAAGAAAACAUAAAAUAAACAACAAGAAAAUGAAAAUAAUCUUACCGCAGUCAAACAAAAUUAAACUUUAAAGGUGUAUUUUUUCAGUAGUGUUAAUUUUACAGUCAGAGUUAAACAAUCAUAAAUACUUUCAUAGACCGCCGCGCCUUUUUGGGGUAAAAGAAAAGAAAACAAAGAAAAUAUUCGAAACCACCUGCCCAAGAAUUAAUUUGGAAAAACUCUCACUUUUGCAACAUACAGCGCACAUGAAUGACACAUGCAGCACUCAUUCAGUCAUCUUUAUUUAUCGAUGAAUACCCUACAUUUCAGUUAAACGAAACUUCAUAAUGGUUCAAAAAUUGUAUAUCACAAUAAUAAAGGAACAGAUCCUCGAUAUGUAAGAAGUGAGAGCUAUACGAGGUAAUAUUUACCACGACGCUAGCGGUGAACCGUAAAGAACCAGCAGUGAUACUAGCUGAGACUCGGAUCUACGGGGAAAAGUGAAAUGUGUAAAAAGGUAAAAAAAGUAAACAAAAAACAAAAUUUUCCUUGAGCUGGAUCCUCGGCUGUACUAGUCUAAUGUCUUCUAAAGUUUGCGUUUCUUCCAAAGUACCACGACUGAUGUCUUUAUUCUUGAUUCUAGAAAAAAAGUAGAAAAUUAAUUAAGUCAAUAACUAACAAUUUUCUAACAAUUUAUAAAUAUUUACAUUGAAGUUCCUUCACAGUUUAUUAAUUUUUGGUUUUUCUACAUCACAAUUAUCGUUUACUAUUUUUUUGUAAAACAUUACAUGCGAAGAGAUACAUUUGAAAUAAUAAAGAUAUAACCAAAUGAUUAAGCAUUUAUAUGUUUUCAUGGUGUCGUGAUAAUUACAAUUUGUUUCAUUUUCUAUAACUUCUUCUAAGCAAGUAAACAUACUUACAUACAUACAAUAAAAAUAUCAUUAAAUGAGGUGUAAAAAGUUAAGUUUGCCUGUCAGCAAAUUUAAAAGACCUUUAACACAUUUAAUUGAGAUAGAUUUGCUGUUAGAAAAGUUAAUGUAGCCUAAAGCAAAAAAAAAAAUCCUUAAUAAGAUAAAGUAUUAUUAUUAUAUUGUGAAUAAAAUGUUUUAAAUAUUA